ACUACCUUAUUCUUCGAUCUUUUUAUUUUUACAUGUUGUUUCCUCUACUUCCUUUGUCAUACUGGUUGUUGUUUGUUUUUUUUUUUUUUUGUUGAAGUAAGUUGUUUCAUUUCGGUAUCAAGCAAAUGCAAAGAGUACAAAAGUAGUUAUGCUAGAUCCAUUACAAUAUAAAAGUUAAAACCCAGGAGCCAGCCACUAAAUCAAAAAAACUAAAGAAGACUUAACAUGACUAUGGACAGCCUAGAGUUAAAGAGCCAAUGAAAUCUACGUAAGCAGUAGAAGUAGAACUACUCAUGUAUGUCGGGUUGGACCAACAAAAUAGAUUGAACAAACAUUUGGUCUUGAGAAUUUGAAUAGGAGUUGAAAUUCCAUCAAAACACCUACGGUUCCUUUCUGUCCUUAGGCACCAAAAAAUACAUACGGUCUUGAGUAUCUGAUAGUUUGAGGCAUCACCCCUUUCAAAUUGAAGAGGGAAAGGUACACAUGCCACAUAUCCGCAGCCACUACGCAAUGCAAGAAAAGAUGAUUAACUAAUUCUGUGUUUUCCCGACACAAAAAACAUCUACUAACCAGCUGGAAAUUUCUUCUACAAAGAUUGUCGAGUGCCAAACAAGAAUUCAGCAAUGCCAACCAACUGCAGCCCAUUACCUUCGGCGGUAACUUUGUUUUCCAAAUAAGCUUCCAUGGCCAUAAAUCUAUGAUAUCAUUUCGGGCAUUCAGCAAUUUAGACCCUUCCGUUACACUGUAUUUAUUUGCCUUAGGACCCUAACAAAAGAUAUUUGUAGCUUGAGGGGUUAUGUUGGAAUCUUUCAGUCUACCCAUUAAUUCAAACAGGCUCUCAAGCUCCCAAUCGUUGAAGUUUCUCCUGUAUAGUAAAUUCCAGUGAUUGCCCUCUCUGUUUUGUGCAACUGUAGAGUCAGGAUCAUGUGCAAAAGGAAAUUCCCAAGCCACUUGUCUUCCCAGAAUUUCACUUUCGGCCAUUCCCAACUUUGAAUGAAAUUUCUUGAAAGAAAUCUUCCCGAUAUUUUCAUAUAUGUUUCCAUGGCCUUAUCCCAUGUGGAGAAUUACUUUGGUUAGUACACCAGUGGUUUAGUUUACCAUGCUUGGCUGUAACUACUACUUUCCAUAAGCUAUUACCCUCCAUUACAUAUAUCUAUAGCCACUGUAACAACAUGUUUUUGUUAUGCUUGGCUAGGUCCCUGAUUCCCAACCCCCCUUAUUGCUUUGGUCUAACCAUAUUAGACCAUUUAACUAAGUGAAACUUAAGCCCUUCAUUGUUACCCUCCCAAAGAAAGUUCCUCCUAACUUUAACCUGCUGCUUCAAGACUUUACUAGGCAAUGGAGAUAGUGACAUGAGAUACGUGGGUAUACUAUCCAUGACACUAUUGAUAAGAGUUAAUCUACCACCAUUGAAAGAUAUUGCCUCUGCCAAGUAGCCAGCCUUUUCUCUACCUUCUCUAUAACACCACUCCAAAUAUCGCUGGACUUAUAUUGCCCCGAAAGGUAGACCCAAGUAGGUUGCUGAUAAAGACCCCACACUCACUGGGUAAAUCACAUUCUUGAGCAUAUUGAUGUGGAGACCUGAAAUAGCUUCAAAUAUUAGAAGGGUUAAGUUAAGAUGUUCUACUUUGGAUCUUUCAGCACCAUAGACUAUCAAGGUAUCAUCGGCAAAAAGCAAAUGAGAAACUGAUAUUGGGAUAUCUGCAUUGUUUCCCAUAGUAAAGCCCUCAAUCCACUGCAACUGAUUGGCUCUGUCCAACAUCUUGCUGUGGCCUUCCAUAGCAAGAAUAAAAAGGAAGGGUGGGAGGGGGUCACCCUGUCUAAUGCCUUUUUGCGAAAAAAAAAUCCAACUGGACUUCUGGUAACUAAAACAGAGUAUUUGACUGUAGUGAUGCUGUAUUUGAUCCAUUUAAUCCACCUAUCUCCAAAACCCAUCUUCCUCAACAUAUUUAAGAGGUAAGUUCAACUGACUUAAUCAAAGGCUUUUUCAAUAUCCAGUUUACACAAAAUACCUAGCUCUCCACUUUUGAGCUUCCAGUCUAGAGCUUCAUUAGCUAUUAAAACAACAUUUGUGAUUUACGUGAACUUGAUGAAAGCAUUUUGUUGCACUGAAAUCGGCGUCCUAAUUACAGUUUUAAGUCUUUCUUGGCAAGAAUUUUCUAGACACUGCCAAUAAGGCUUAUUGGCCUGUAGUCUCUAAGUUCAAUAACAUCUUUUUUUUUGAAACAAGAGCAAUAAAAGAAGUAUUGUUGUACCUAACCAUGUAAUAGUGUUGAUGGAGUGAUGCAUUGCCCCCAAAACAUCAGUUUUAAUGAAACCCCAUGUCUUCUGGUAAAAUGGUAUAGUAUAGCUGUAAGGACCCAGAGGAGCGCAAGAGUUAAUUGCUGGAAGAAUUUCAUCCUCUUCAAAAGCUCUUUCUAACCAUUCUUUUUCCUCCAAAGUAACGCUGCCUAGAUUAUCAAAGGUUGCAGUAGGCCUUCAUUGCUCUUUUUCAGUGUAAAUAUCUUUGAUAAAAGUCGAGAAUUUUAUUCUUGAUUUGAUCUUUGUCAUUAAUAAUCUCAUCUUCCACCUUUAAUAUAUCAAUUUGAUUGUUCCUCCUAUAGGAAUUUGCAAUCUUCUGAAAAUAUUUGGUAUUUCUAUCACCCUUCUUGAGCUAUAAACACCUCAUUUUUUUUUGCCUCCAUGACACUUCUUCAGCCUUAGCAAUCUGUUGUAAUUCCAUUUUUAGGACCAAAAUCUAUCUUUUCCUGCUUGGGAUGGAAGCCUAUUUUUGGUUGCCUGCUCAAUAGCCAUAAGUUCAUCCAGUGCUUUGCUCUUUCUAGUUUCUAGCUUGCCAAAGAUUUCUCUUUUCCAAACAAUGAUAUCUAUUCUAAGACACCUCAAUGUCUAAGAUAAAAUAAAAUAUGGACUACCCCCAAUAGAGUAGUUUUGCCACCAUUCUUUAAAUUUAUCUAAGAAUCCUUCCUCUUGCAACCAUAUAUUUUCAAAUUUAAAAUAGGAAGAAGGAUUGCCUUCCCAAUCCCCAUUUUCCAAAAGCAUAGGUCUGUGGUCUAUAAUAACUUUUGGAAGAGCAAUUUGUUUUACAGCUUUAAAGGUGUCGCUCCAUUCAGAUGAGAUCAAAAACCUGUCUAUUCUGGAUGCUUGAAUAGAAUUUUCUCCUCUAGACCAAGUAUAGAAAGUACCUUGUAAAGGAUCUUAGAUGGUAUUUGAGAAGCUUUGCAUGGCUUUUGAUCUUCAGAUGCAAUUAUUUCACUUUUAAACCUGCAUAUAUUGAAAUCGCCACCUAUAACCCAUUGCUCAUUCCAAAUUCCUCUAAUAGAGGCAAGCUCGAGCCAUAGUUCCUCCCUUUUAGAUUAGAAUGAGGGCCAUAAACACUUGUGAAGCACCAUCGGAAUUCUUCUUGAGAACUUUCUAACAUACAAAAGAGAGUGUAUGAACCUUGCUGUUUGUCAAUGCAAUUCCACAACCUUUUAUCCCAAAAAUUUAUUAUCCCACCCUUGCUGCCACUUGCUUUGAGCUCGAUCCAGCCAGCCCAUCUAUUGCUCCACAUUUGUUGAAUCAUUUGUGAUGACCAAUUGACAACUUUUGUCUCCAACAAGCAAAUAAUGUCUGCGAAAGGUGUCUGGACACCAAGCAUGCAAAGGAAUUCCAAAAGCUUUAACCCAUUUGUGCUCCGACUUUGCGGAGGAGGUUCCGAUCAUGGGAAACCACCAAGCAAGAGAUAGACGCCUACCAUUCCAGAACCAAUCACCAGAUUUGAUGCGAGUGGUUUCUUGCCUCGACGAAAAUUCAAACAACAAUUGAUUGUGGGCUAAUGGAGUGACUUUUGAGGCCUACAGUAAUUUUUCACCUAUUGAUGAACCAUUUUUGUAUCACUUCGGAGUUGGGGCUCUGGUUGAAGGGAUCGUUCAAGACACCAACAAGGCAUCUGCUCAGAGGAUGGGAAUUUUUGACAUCAUUGUUUUGACUCAAAUCUGACCAACUCGGCAACUUCGUUGUAACGGAGUACGUUCUCAGUUGAGAUGCCGGUGAAGAAAGGUUUUUUGGGGUACCUCCGUUUACCCAAAAAGUUAAGAAUCUUAUCUGCAAUAUCUAUCCACCCCCAGUUAUGUCCAGCUUCUGGAAUUAUCACAACCAAUUUCUUCUCGCCCAACCAAAUCUCAGUUCUUAUAAAUCUCCCGUAAACAUUGUAAUUUUGGUACACUCUGAAUAUCAUGUUGUUUCCGCGGCAAUCUCCUGUAAAGAUCCACUGCACCCUUGGAAGCUUGCUUGAGAUUGUCGAAGACCCACCUUAGGUUAUCUUCAUCUAUUUUGAUGUUACUUGAGAAACGACUGCCGCAUUCUGUAAUUGAGAACCAUCUGGGAAAAUCAUCACUGAUAUUUGUAACUUCAAAGGACUUAUCAUCUGAAACAAAGAAAAUCUUAUCUCCCAUUGGGUUUGACCGUUGACAAUUUAUAUUCUAUCCACGUUCAGAUUUCCCCCAUAGUUCCUAAACUAGGAAGAAGAAGGAAAUUUAGAAAAAUAGUAAUCACAGGAUGUAAAAACUGAAUUGUUUGAAAGAAAGACGAUCAAUUCCGGCAAGUCUACCGGAAAACACAAGCAGUAUCACUGUGGACUUGCUCAAAGUUCUGUGCCAUUUGCUUCGUUGCUGGAAUAUUUGUCGGUUAUACACUGAAGCGUCGUGUACGCCUAUGGGCUUCCAAACUUCUCAAGGGAUUGAAGGACUAACAAGUUUUGGAUACUUACAAUUUCUGAUUGUAAUUUCAUUUUCCAUGUAGGUAUCACACUGUACCUUUUUUUGCCAUGUUAUACAGAAGUCUCUUAUGGCUUUUUUUUGCUUAAGCACUGAAUUGUAC
This is a long non-coding RNA of Capsicum annuum, 4857 nucleotides long. RefSeq lists it as uncharacterized. The transcript has 2 exons. The record is from RefSeq and is a predicted model, not a curated record. NCBI's taxonomy places the organism in Eukaryota, Viridiplantae, Streptophyta, Magnoliopsida, Solanales, Solanaceae.